UACAGAGGGUGCAAGCGUUAAUCGGAAUUACUGGGCGUAAAGCGCACGUAGGCGGAUACUUAAGUCAAUUGUGAAAGCCCCGGGCUCAACCUGGGAACUGCAGUUGAUACUGGGUAUCUAGAGUAUGGUAGAGGUAUGUGGAAUUCCCGGUGUAGCAGUGAAAUGCGUAGAGAUCGGGAGGAACACCAGUGGCGAAGGCGGCAUACUGGACCAAUACUGACGCUGAGGUGCGAAAGCGUGGGGAGCAAACAGG
This 253-nucleotide ribosomal RNA is filed under the name uncultured bacterium. RNAcentral's name for it is "partial 16S ribosomal RNA". It matches the Rfam family "Bacterial small subunit ribosomal RNA", at positions 524 to 776 of the family's 1533-position model. The record is from RNAcentral.